Molecule: transfer RNA, 72 nt
Filed under: Nitratidesulfovibrio sp. HK-II
Lineage: Bacteria; Pseudomonadati; Thermodesulfobacteriota; Desulfovibrionia; Desulfovibrionales; Desulfovibrionaceae
Rfam family: tRNA
About the family: Transfer RNA (tRNA) molecules are approximately 80 nucleotides in length. Their secondary structure includes four short double-helical elements and three loops (D, anti-codon, and T loops). Further hydrogen bonds mediate the characteristic L-shaped molecular structure. tRNAs have two regions of fundamental functional importance: the anti-codon, which is responsible for specific mRNA codon recognition, and the 3' end, to which the tRNAs corresponding amino acid is attached (by aminoacyl-tRNA synthetases). tRNAs cope with the degeneracy of the genetic code in two manners: having more than one tRNA (with a specific anti-codon) for a particular amino acid; and 'wobble' base-pairing, i.e. permitting non-standard base-pairing at the 3rd anti-codon position.
Source: Rfam by way of RNAcentral
GGGGAUGUAGUUCAGUGGGAGAACACCUGCCUUGCAAGCAGGGGGUCGUCGGUUCGAAUCCGUCCAUCUCCA